This 497-nucleotide ribosomal RNA is filed under the name uncultured bacterium. Its description in RNAcentral is "partial 16S ribosomal RNA". It matches the Rfam family "Bacterial small subunit ribosomal RNA", at positions 28 to 507 of the family's 1533-position model. The record is from RNAcentral.
GAUGAACGCUGGCGGCGUGCCUAAUACAUGCAAGUCGAGCGAACAGAUAACGAGCUUGCUCCUUUGACGUUAGCGGCGGACGGGUGAGUAACACGUGGGUAACCCCCCUAUAAGACUGGUAUAACUUCGGGAAACCGGAUAUAAUACCGGAUAACAAUUGGAACCGCAUGGUUCUGAAGAGAAUGACGGUGUUGCUAUCACUUACAGAUGGACCCGCGCCGGAUUAGCUAGUUGGUAAGGUAACGGCUUACCAAGGCAACGAUACGCAGCCGACCUGAGAGGGUGAUCGCCCACAUGGGAACUGGGACACCGUCAAUGGUCCUACGGGAGGCAGCAGUAGGGAAUCUUCCGCAAUGGUCGAAAACCUGACGGAGCAGCGCCGCGUGUGUGAUGGAGAGUUUCGGUUCGUAAAACUCUGUUAUUAGUGAAAAACACAUGUCGAAGUAACUGAGCACGAAGUGACGGUACCUAAACAGAAAGCAACGGCUAACUACGUG